UGGAGCUAUAUACAGGAAGUACCAGAUCAAUGUGGAGCUAUAUACAGGAAGUACCAGAUCAAUGUGGAGCUAUAGACAGGAAGUACUAGAUCAAUGUGGAGCUAUAGACAGGAAGUAGCACUACCAGAUCAAUGUGGAGCUAUAUACAGGAAGUAGCACUACCAGAUCAAUGUGGAGCUAUAUACAGGGAGUACCAGUACCAGAUCAAUGUGGAGCUAUAUACAGGAAGUACCAGAUCAAUGUGGAGCUAUAUACAGGAAGUACCAGAUCAAUGUGGAGCUAUAUACAGGAAGUACCAGAUCAAUGUGGAGCUAUAUACAGGAAUUACCAGAUCAAUGUGGAUCUAAACUCAGCAAAAAAAUAAACGUCCUCUCACUGUCAACUGCAUUUAUUUUCAGCAAUCUUAACAUGUGUGAAUAUUUGUAGGAACAUAAGAUUCAACAACUGAGACAUAAACUGAACAAGUUCCACAGACAUGUGAUUAACAGAAAUGGAAUAAUGUGUCCCUGAACGAAGGAAGGGGGUUAAAAUCAAAAGUAACCAUCAGUAUCUGGUGUGGCCACCAGCUGCAUUAAGUACUACAGUGCAUCUCCUCCUCAUGAGAUUACCCCCGGACCUGCCUUACAACAGGCCUCCAAGCCCUCAGUCCAGCCUCUCCCAGCCUAUUACAGGGAGGUACCACUACCAAGCUAAAGUAACCGUCAGUAUCUGGUGUGGCCACCAGCUGCAUUAAGUACUGCAGUGCAUCUCCUCCUCAUGGACUGCACCUCCUCAUGAGAUUACCCCCGGACCUGCCUUACAACAGGCCUACACUCAGUCCAGCCUCUCUCAGCCUAUUACAGGGAGGUACCACUACCAAGCUAAAGUAGGCUCUCUUUUCUGAAAAAAAAAAAGUUGAAAGGAGACUCGCGGUGUAACGAGCACUAUGGUGAGAGCAUUGAACCCUGUUCUUUUUUUUUAAAGGAGAUUUAUGAUGAGGGCUUUAACGUUACCUGGUAACCACGGAGACAGAUCACUGUGAGGGUUUAAUAAGAUCUCUCUCACACAGCUGUCUUUUUAAAAACCAAUCCUUUGCCGAUCUCACCGUAGUAAGAAAAGGACCUUCUGCUUUAUUCAAAGUGUUCUCCUCGACUUCUGGAAUUGUUCCCCCGUCCUCUCCUCUGUCAGUUUAAUUGUCGGGUGGUGAAUAUAUUGCCCUCCUGCCUGGCAGCCUCACUGAGAAACAUUCACUCUAAUCUUUCCUGACGAGUCUCUGGUGAUUCAUAUGACUCAAGAUGAGUCAGUGGACGUUGCUGGGAUGCAGAACCAAAUGGCACCCUCUUCCCAAUGGGCCCUGGUCUAAAGUAGUGCACUAUGUAGGGAAUAGGGUUCUGGUCUAUAGUAGUGCACUAUGUAGGGAAUAGGGCCCUGGUCUAAAGUAGUGCACUAUAUAGGGAAUAGGGCCCUGGUCUAAAGUAGUGCACUAUAUAGGGAAUAGGGCCCUGGUCUAAAGUAGUGCACUAUGUAGGGAAUAGGGCCCUGGUCUAAAGUAGUGCAUUAUAUAGUGAAUAGGGCCCUGGUCUAAAGUAGUGCACUAUAUAGGGAAUAGGGCUCUGGUCUAAAGUAGUGCUCUAUAUAGGGAAUAGGGUUCCAUUUGGGACUGUGAUGGUAGACUGUGAUGGUAGAAGAGUUCUGUAUGUUCAUGACUCUCAUUAAAGAUGAAUAUAUUUGGGGUUAUUAUUAUGUUACACGUGUGUGUGUGUGUGUGUGUGUGUGUGUGUGUGUGUGUGUGAGAGAAAGCUUGUUGAAGUAAACAGAUGAGUUGACUCACCCACAGCACAGCCUUGAGGGACGGACACACACACCAUGACACACACCGUAACACACACACACACACACACACACACACACACACACACACACACAGCUGCCCAUAAUUAAGUGGGAGGCCAUGCUGUCACAGAGCUCUGCAACGAAACACAGUGUGUUUAAACAUGAAUCAACUGUUAUUAAUAAACACAAUUCAUUUACACUCUCUAAGAUAAUCAACUGUUAUUAAUAAACACAAUUCAUUUACACUCUCUAAGAUAAUCAACUGCUAUUAAUAAACACAAUUCAUUUACACUCUCUAAGAUAAUCAACUGUUAUUAAUAAACACAAUUCAUUUACACUCUCUAAGAUAAUCAACUGUUAUUAAUAAACACAAUUCAUUUACACUCUCUAAGAUAAUCAACUGUUAUUAAUAAACACAAUUAAUUUACACUAAGAUAAUCAACUGCUAUUAAUAAACACAAUUAAUUUACACUCUCUAAGAUAAUCAACUGCUAUUAAUAAACACAAUUAAUUUACACUCUCUAAGAUAAUCAACUGCUAUUAAUAAACACAAUUAAUUUACACUCUCUAAGAUAAUCAACUGCUAUUAAACUCUUGUUGUUUACACUGUUUCUAACACAGCCAGGUUCACCUUUAACCUUCCCGUUGGAUCAGAGAGAUAGCCUGGUCCCAGAUCUGUUUGUGCUCUUGACAACUGUAUUUAGCAGUUAGACAGUUCCACAAGGAGUUGGCAAGAGAACAGAAACAGUCUGGUACCCAGGCUAUCAGAGAGCUGUCUGUCUGUCAACAGUCUGGUACCCAGGCUAUCAGAGAUCUGCUUCACUGUCACAAUGUCUGUCUGUCACAAUGUCUGUCUGUCACAAUGUCUGUCUGUCUGUCUGUCUGUCUGUCUGUCUGUCUGUCUGUCAGUCAGUCAACAGUGUGGUACCCAGGCUAUGAGAGAGCUGCUUCACUGUCACAAUGUCUGUCUGUCAGUCUGUCAACAGUGUGGUACCCAGGCUAUCAGAGAGCCAUCUGUCAACAGUGUGGUACCCAGCCUAUCAGAGAGCGAGCUGCCUGCCUGCCUUGGAUUGGACGAGGUUUUAACCAAUGACACAGGGAAAGUGUGUGCUGUAUAUUGUGACAUAACUUAAUGCAUGGCCUUUAUGGGUAUAGUAAUGAGUUUAUCAGCAGUAUUCCCAUGUCUGUCUUAAAGAGAAAUAUUCAUAUACAACGUUUGUGUCUCUUCCACAUUUCCAUUAGAAUCAUAUGGACUCAUUGGUACAGCUCUCCCUGUUCCAGUGUCCUGUGUCCAUUUCCAUUAAAAUCACAUGGACUCAUUGGUACAGCUCUCCCUGUUCCAGUGUCCUGUGUCCAUUUCCAUUAGAAUCAUAUGGACUCAUUGGUACAGCUCUCCCUGUUCCAGUGUCCUGUGUCCAUUUCCAUUAGAAUCAUAUGGAC
Molecule: long non-coding RNA, 3252 nt
Organism: Oncorhynchus tshawytscha (Chinook salmon)
Lineage: Eukaryota; Metazoa; Chordata; Actinopteri; Salmoniformes; Salmonidae
Source: Ensembl